AGGAAACACGUGACCGGUCGCCAGCUUAGCGGAGCGGCUGCUCCCUGCAGUAUCUGAAAUCCCAGCCUGCAGCACCGCCGCACUGAGAUGGCUGCCGCAGUGACAACCCUGGAAGGGAAGAGACUUUUAAGUGACCUGGUCAGAGGGCUAGGUCACAGGAAGAGACAUGUUGCUGCAGAAGUGGAGCAGCCACUAGUGGGAGACCUGCAGUGGAGAGAGAGCUGCUAUUUCAUGCCUGGACAAAAGGAA
Molecule: long non-coding RNA, 249 nt
Organism: Chrysemys picta bellii (western painted turtle)
Lineage: Eukaryota; Metazoa; Chordata; Testudines; Emydidae
Source: RefSeq, a predicted model, not a curated record